RNAcentral lists this ribosomal RNA (1276 nucleotides) under uncultured rumen bacterium. Its description in RNAcentral is "partial 16S ribosomal RNA". It matches the Rfam family "Bacterial small subunit ribosomal RNA", at positions 48 to 1364 of the family's 1533-position model. The record is from RNAcentral.
CUAACACAUGCAAGUCGAGGGGCAGCAUGGUCGAAGCUUGCUUUGACUGAUGGCGACCGGCGAAUGGGUGAGUCACGCGUGUCCAACCUGCCCCCCGCCCGGGGAUAGCCCUUGGAAAUGAGGAUUAAUACCCGAUACGUGCGCAUUCCGCAUGGCGUGCGCAUGAAACGAGGCGGGGGAUGGGGACGCGUCGGAUUAGCUUGACGGCGGGGCGACGGCCCACCGUGGCGACGAUCCGCAGGGGUUCUGAGAGGAAGGUCCCCCACACUGGCACUGAGACACGGGCCAGACUCCUACGGGAGGCAGCAGUGAGGAAUAUUGGUCAAUGGCCGAGAGGCUGAACCAGCCAAGUAGCGUGCAGGAUGACGGCCCUACGGGUUGUAAACUGCUUUUGCGGGAGGAUAAAGUUGCCCACGCGUGGGCAUUUGCAGGUAUCCCGUGAAUAAGGACCGGCUAAUUCCGUGCCAGCAGCCGCGGUAAUACGGAAGGUCCGGGCGUUAUCCGGAUUUAUUGGGUUUAAAGGGAGCGCAGGCGGAGGUGCAAGCGUGCCGUGAAAGCGCGGGGCUCAACCCCGUACAGCGGCGCGAACUGCUCCCCUUGGUUGCGGGAAGGGAAGGCGGAACUCGUGGUGUAGCGGUGAAAUGCAUAGAUAUCACGAAGAACUCCGAUCGCGAAGGCAGCCUUCCGGCCCGCCAACGACGCUCAUGCUCGAAGGCGCGGGUAUCAAACAGGAUUAGAUACCCUGGUAGUCCGCGCGGUAAACGAUGAACACUCGGGAUUUGCCCCUUGCGGGUGAGUCCCCCAGCGAAAGCGUUAAGUGUUCCACCUGGGGAGUACGCCGGCAACGGUGAAACUCAAAGGAAUUGACGGGGGCCCGCACAAGCGGAGGAACAUGUGGUUUAAUUCGAUGAUACGCGAGGAACCUUACCCGGGCUUGAAAUGUGCAUGACGGGAGGCAGAGACGCCUCCUUCCUUCGGGCAUGCAUGUAGUGCUGCAUGGUUGUCGUCAGCUCGUGCCGUGAGGUGUCGCUCAGUGCCAUACGAGCGCAACCCCUUCCGCCGGUUACAUCGGGUGAUGCCGGGACUCCGGCGGCACUGCGCGCAGGCUUGAGAGCGGAUGACGUCAUCAGACCGUCUUACGUCGGCACACACGUGUUCAAUGGGGGCAACACUGACGGCGCAACCGUCGAAUCAUGAAUUCUUCAAUCGAACGGAAUCUGCAACCGAAUCCGACGAAUCCUGUAUCGCCUAACAUGGCGGGUAACUUUCGGGCGUG